GUAGGUGGCAAGCGUUGUCCGGAAUUAUUGGGCGUAAAGCGCGCGCAGGGCGGUCCUUUAAGUCUGAUGUGAAAGCCCACGGCUCAACCGUGGAGGGUCAUUGGAAACUGGGGGACUUGAGUACAGAAGAGGAAAGCGGAAUUCCAAGUGUAGCGGUGAAAUGCGUAGAGAUUUGGAGGAACACCAGUGGCGAAGGCGGCUUUCUGGUCUGUAACUGACGCUGAGGCGCGAAAGCGUGGGGAGCAAACAGGAUUAGAUACCCUGGUAGUCCACGCCGUAAACGAUGAGUGCUAAGUGUUAGGGGGUUUCCGCCCCUUAGUGCUGCAGCUAACGCAUUAAGCACUCCGCCUGGGGAGUACGGCCGCAGGGCUG
Molecule: ribosomal RNA, 372 nt
Filed under: uncultured organism
Description: partial 16S ribosomal RNA
Rfam family: Bacterial small subunit ribosomal RNA
Source: RNAcentral